GUAAGGAAUAUUGGUCAAUGGACGCAAGUCUGAACCAGCCAUGCCGCGUGGAGGAUGAAGGUCCUCUGGAUUGUAAACUUCUUUUAUCUGGGAAGAAACCCACGUUUUCUAAUGUGGUUGACGGUACCAGAUGAAUAAGCACCGGCUAACUCCGUGCCAGCAGCCGCGGUAAUACGGAGGGUGCAAGCGUUAUCCGGAUUCACUGGGUUUAAAGGGUGCGUAGGCGGAUUGGUAAGUCCGUGGUGAAAUCCCCGAGCUUAACUCGGGAACUGCCGUGGAUACUAUCAGUCUUGAAUAUCGUGGAGGUAAGCGGAAUAUGUCAUGUAGCGGUGAAAUGCUUAGAUAUGACAUAGAACACCAAUUGCGUAGGCAGCUUACUACACGAUCAUUGACGCUGAGGCACGAAAGCGUGGGGAGCAAACAGGAUUAGAUACCCCUGUAGUCC
RNAcentral lists this ribosomal RNA (445 nucleotides) under uncultured bacterium. RNAcentral's name for it is "bacterial SSU rRNA". It matches the Rfam family "Bacterial small subunit ribosomal RNA", at positions 354 to 796 of the family's 1533-position model. The record is from RNAcentral.